This 484-nucleotide ribosomal RNA is filed under the name Stenotrophomonas maltophilia. RNAcentral's name for it is "bacterial SSU rRNA". It matches the Rfam family "Bacterial small subunit ribosomal RNA", at positions 13 to 486 of the family's 1533-position model. Lineage: Bacteria; Pseudomonadati; Pseudomonadota; Gammaproteobacteria; Lysobacterales; Lysobacteraceae. The record is from RNAcentral.
UUGAUCCUGGCUCAGAGUGAACGCUGGCGGUAGGCCUAACACAUGCAAGUCGAACGGCAGCACAGGAGAGCUUGCUCUCUGGGUGGCGAGUGGCGGACGGGUGAGGAAUACAUCGGAAUCUACUCUGUCGUGGGGGAUAACGUAGGGAAACUUACGCUAAUACCGCAUACGACCUACGGGUGAAAGCAGGGGACCUUCGGGCCUUGCGCGAUUGAAUGAGCCGAUGUCGGAUUAGCUAGUUGGCGGGGUAAAGGCCCACCAAGGCGACGAUCCGUAGCUGGUCUGAGAGGAUGAUCAGCCACACUGGAACUGAGACACGGUCCAGACUCCUACGGGAGGCAGCAGUGGGGAAUAUUGGACAAUGGGCGCAAGCCUGAUCCAGCCAUACCGCGUGGGUGAAGAAGGCCUUCGGGUUGUAAAGCCCUUUUGUUGGGAAAGAAAUCCAGCUGGCUAAUACCCGGUUGGGAUGACGGUACCCAAAGAA